GCGGGGGUCGCCUAGCCAGGUCAAUGGCGCUGCCCUGAGGCGGCAGUCCCGUUGGGGUACGUGGGUUCAAAUCCCACCCCCCGCA
Molecule: transfer RNA, 85 nt
Filed under: Nitrososphaerota archaeon
Lineage: Archaea; Thermoproteati; Nitrososphaerota
Also listed under: 2 other names
Description: Thaumarchaeota archaeon (hot springs metagenome) tRNA-Leu
Rfam family: tRNA
About the family: Transfer RNA (tRNA) molecules are approximately 80 nucleotides in length. Their secondary structure includes four short double-helical elements and three loops (D, anti-codon, and T loops).
Source: RNAcentral